Long non-coding RNA from Pseudopipra pipra, 4547 nucleotides. RefSeq lists it as uncharacterized. Lineage: Eukaryota; Metazoa; Chordata; Aves; Passeriformes; Pipridae. The record is from RefSeq and is a predicted model, not a curated record. The transcript has 3 exons.
UGCCACUGAGCAAAGUGGGAACAAGCAGUGGCUGUGUUGGCACCCAGGAGGGUGCAGGAUUGGCACCCAGGGCAGAGCAGAGCUCCCUGACUCAGAGCUGGCACAGGCUGUAUCGUUCUGCUUGGGCUGGUGAAGAGCAGCUCACAGGGGCUGCAUUGCUGCAGAAGGUGAGCAAGAAUUUCAGUAUGGGCUGCCUCUCUCCCCCCUGCUCACUGAGGAGGAGGCUCCAUGCACCCGGAGGCUGCAUCCUGGGCAGCCGGGGAGAGGGUGAGUGUGCAAAGUCACAGGGAAUCUUUCAUCAGGCUUGGAAAGCCACUGCUCAUAUUGUGCAGACACAUUUUGGCAUUAUUUCUCCCUGCUGCAUCCUGGAGUGGCCAAAUACUGCGACAGAGAAGAACUUGUAGGAACAAAAGAUAUUUCUCCUUAAGCCAAGAGCCCCUGGAAAGAGCUCAGAUUGCAGCAAGCUUUCAUUCCCCUAUCUCUCUUUGUAAUUAAGCUUUGCAUUAGUAUCAGAUGAAAUUAAUGCUCAAAGCUCAUUCCCUAUUAACAGGGAGGGUGGUUGCUGUUGUGCAUGUGUGUUUAAAGCAGAGUUGUACCUGCUGAUCUUGAUGAAUGGGUCAUUUGUGCUGUGAGUUUUCUCUGAAAAUGAGGAGGAGAGUACACAGCCCUGGUGCUGAUAAGGGAUGGUGUUAUUCUGUGUUCUGUAGCCACUUCUCCAGGAAGCCGUUGCUUCAUUUGUAUUGCUUUUUUAACCUUAUAUGCUCAGUGGGCCCAGGCGAAGCUUCUUUCUUCUUGAAUUAAAUGUAAUCAGGCUGAGCAGCGAGGAAGAAAUGAUGAAUGAGGACAUCAUUUUGGAAAACACAUAUCUCCUGACUGCUUAUCUCAAUGACAUAAGAGGACUUGAAUACUGUAUGGAAAAUAAAUGCAGAUGGAGGCUCAGCAUAUCAUGCUGGAGAAUAAUAGCUCAGAGGCUUAGACCUGGCCAGAAACUAUUUAUUAUUUAGAGUAUUGCUCUUGUAAUUUAUAAAGGUUAAUCACUAAAACUUUAAUUCUCCUAUAGGAAAAUGGUUAAAGAGCUCUGGCAUUUGUCAUGGUUGCAGCAAGAAGGGACCAUGGCAAUGAAAGAAGAAAUCUUGCAGGGAGAGCCAGUGCCUGGGCUGACCCAUCCAAGAGGGCAUCAUUGUCUUUCCUACCCGCAACCAGAUCCAGUGCCAGCCCAACCCACCAUGGCAGAACUUUGGAGGUAAGGAUGGGUGGAAGGAGGGGGUGUGCAAAGAGGCAAAGUGCCGGUGAUGCACAAAAAGACUUGCAGAACUGUAGUUAUAGCAAGGAGCUGUUGUCCUUCAGGGAGAGCACUGAAUAAAGUCCCCGCACUUCACCUCCUGGCCAUCCUCCCAGGCUGGCAGCAGAAACUCAGAAAAUGUCACAGCACAUGAAGUCUCUAGAGGGCAAGAAGAAAGAAGGACUCAAAAUAAAACUUCAUGAAGUGGAAGAGCGAUGAGGUUGUCUCAUCUAUUCUGAGGCUACAUUUUUAGCCAGGGUGCAUUUGUUAAUGGCCCUAUAAACUAGGUGAAUAAGGAGAAGAAAGGGGGAAUAGUUGCCAAAUAAUUUGCUUUUUCAACACUCCAGUGUACCACUGAAGUUAUUUAUUUGCAAUGUGACUUCCUCUAGAUAGAAUAAAUCUGAUAAAGUCUGGCCACACUGAGCUAAAAUAGCAUUUGAGCUGGCUUGUUCAACACAGGUCAGUGUGCAAUUAUGGAAACAUCCACAUUUUCAUCUGGAGCAGAACAGGCCACUUUGCCAUGAAAAAGAAGGUGUGUUUUUUUUCUUUUUUUGCACUGAUAAUCAGAUUUCCAUAAGAAACAAAGUGCCUUUGCAAAUUCAAGUCAUUAAGCCAUGUCUGUGUUCUGGUGGGGGAAUACUGCUCAUCACAAGAACAAGGAGUACAGCAUAUCCCAGAACAAGUCCAGGGAGAGUCUGCAUUAAGAGAGUAUUAAUUAUAAUAAAUAAAGAUGACAGAAAAGUCAAUGUUUAGAAAAUAAUGCAGGGCUAGCCCAGCUCAACCAUGCUCAAACUUCAAACAACCCUCAGACUUUGAAUGUCUGAAAUUUGAGACUGGAGACCAUCUUCAGUGUUAGACUGUUAGUGUUAAUUGAAAAAUGCUCAUGAAUGCAGCACAACACAGUUUACCUGACCCCCAUGUCAAACAUAUUUCAUUGCAGAAAAGUCCUGCAAUUUCAUGGGGAUCCUGCACCCACCAGCAGACCUGGGCAGUGCAGCAGUUUACAUUGCAGCUCAUUGCACGGGGCCAGGUUCCUCAGGGAGCUGAGGGAAAUCUCCAGUGUUGCUUGAAGGUUUGCAAUAUCCAGAUGUGGGGGAAGAAAAGCUUUGGUUAGCAAUCUGAGUCCUAAAUGAAUUUCAUUGAAUUGGCAUUAAUUACUGUCUCUGUUUAUUGGCGUUGCCAUAAGAUUUUCCAUUAAUUCACAGAGUGGCUGUUUUGCCUUGCUCAUGAAACCCAGGUAUUAGAGUCCUCCAGGUCCUGGGAUGCAGACCUUCCCGAGAACAUUCCUCACACCACUGGUGUGCAAAAUGCAUAAAUGCAACUGCUGGCAGCAAGGGGAAAGCAGCAGAGAAAGAAUUAAAUUCAUGUAUUUAUUCUUGUUGUUGACCUCUCUCAUUCCUGGGUGGUGUAUCUUAGAGCAGUCUGAUGGUAUCUUACCUGUGAUGCUACAGGGCUGCUGUGGCCCAAAUAUUGAGGGUGCUUGGGUGUAAAACACUGAUUUGUCUUUGUGCAGCCUUUGAACAACACACAGCUUUGGUUCUCCCUGGGAACAGGAAAUGGGAUGAGGUUAAGCUGUGGAAGGACUGAGGAGUGUCUGUCUAAGGCAGCAGUAGCAACCCUUCAGAGCAGGCACUUGGCAUCCCUCCUUACUCCUGUGAUGGAGGGCUGGAGGAUUUCAUUCAGAAAGCCUGCAGGUCUCUGAGGAAUAUAUGCUUAGGCUCAUUGCAAAAUGAUGGAUCAAGGUUUAGCAAGGCAAACUGAGAAUUGGGACUGGACUGGUUUUGGAAAUCCUUCACUGGCCUCCUUACUGAAAAUGACAAUUAUCCUGCUGGUAUUCUUUCUCCUGUUUUUGUGUGUUGGUUUGUGUUUGUUUGGUUGGUUGGUUGGUUUUUUGUUUGGUUGGUUGGUUUUGGGGGGGGUGGGUUUUUUGUUUUUAUUGUUGUUGUUUGUUGUUGUUUGCUGUUGUUUUGUGGUUUUCUUUUUUUUUUUCAGUAUAAUUUCACUUUUAAAAUAUAAUUUCCAGUUUUUACUAGGUCUCCCUUUGUUUCUGAUUUACUUCAGCAAUUAUCCCUAAGUAGGUCUGCAGUGCCACAAAACCGAGGUGCUCUUCUGCCUGCUGAAAAGCCAGUAAAUCUUAGAAACUGACCAUGAAAUCAAAAAGAGAACAGAGACAAUGGCUGGAGCAGCACUUCCUCAGAAAACGAGUCAUGGAAACGUCAAACACAAUGAGGUCUUUGCCUCUCAGAUGGUGUGUGACAAAGGAGAAGGCACUGAACGGGGUGAUCCCAUCCUGCCAUCCUGGGCUCUGUGGUGGCACACUGGCUGCCAGCACUGACAUUCAGCCUGUGCAUGGAACUGCCUGAGAAAGGUCAUCGAAUCAUAAAAUCAUUAACCUUGGAAAAGACCUCCAGGAUCAUCAAGUCCAACCUUUGAGCAUGCCCACUGAAUCAUGCCACAAAGCACCACAUCUACUCAUUUUUUGAACUCUUCCAGGGCUGGUGACUCCACCGUUUCCCUAGAGAGCCUUCUGCUGCCUUCUCCCUGCCCCUCUUUCCAGCUGUAAAUUGGGAAUAGAGAUAGUGCCUGCAAAUGGAAAUUGGGUGGGGCAUGCUUUUGGCAACACUUAUUUUGAAGACCACUGUGUGAUGAUCUCACAGAUCACUCAACAAAUGGCAAAACAUUCUGUAUGAUGAAGGGAACCUCUGGCCUGUAAAACAACCCUUUUUGGAAGUGCCAUAGAAACCUGUCAGUGCUCAUCCUUCAAAGGCAGCCUCUACAUAGGCCAAGGGCUCCUCACUUACAUGCAAAACAAAAACAAUGUCUGCGAGCGUCCUUAUCCAGACAGACUGAAAACGUACUCCAGUGAGUGCCAAAGGACAAACCCCUGAUGCACACAGGCAGAAAGGAGAGAUGCUCCCAAUGUGCAGGCAUGAUAACAGAGCUAUCCAUACAGGCAGUGUCAGUAUUUUUACGCUGACUGUAAAAAUACUCUGAACAAUUUACUCUGAAAAAGCCAGCAGCUCCCUCAAACAUAGCAUUGCUGGGACCAACAUAUUCCUCUUCCAGAUGACUGAAUAUUGAAAAGAAUGCAAAACAAGCUGAAAAAGUGGAACUUGUCGCUCGUCCUUUGGUGGCUGUCAGCACCGGAAAGGAUGGAUGAAGAAGUGAAACAUGGCCAUCUUCAGCCACUCGCCUGUGUGCUGGGCUUAGAGGUAACUCAUUGGGAGGUGGGAUGCAAGCUUUACUCUGGAAUGUGCUCUAAAUG